This 497-nucleotide ribosomal RNA is filed under the name uncultured bacterium. RNAcentral describes it as "partial 16S ribosomal RNA". It matches the Rfam family "Bacterial small subunit ribosomal RNA", at positions 28 to 507 of the family's 1533-position model. The record is from RNAcentral.
GAUGAACGCUGGCGGCGUGCCUAAUACAUGCAAGUCGAGCGAACAGACGAGGAGCUUGCUCCCCUGACGUUAGCGGCGGACGGGUGAGUAACACGUGGAUAACAUACCUAUAAGACUGGGAUAAUAUCGGGAAACCAGAUCUACUAACGGAUAAUAUAUCGAACCGGAUGGUUCAAUAGUGAAAGACGCUUUUGGUGUCACUAAUAGACGAAUCCGCGCCGCAUUAGUUAGUUGGUAAGGUAACGGCUUAGCAAGGCGACGAUGCGUAGCCGACCUGAGAGGGUGAUCAGACACACUGGAACUGAGACACGGUCCAGACUCCUACGGGAGGCAGCAGUAGGGAAUCUUCCGCAAUGGGCGAAAGCCUGAUGGAGCAACACCGCGUGAGUGAUGAAGGUCUUCGGCUCGUAAAGCGCUGUUGUUAGGAAAGAACAAAAGCGUAUUUAACUAUGCACGUCUUGACGGUACCUAAAGAAAAAGCCACGGCUAACUACGUG